AGUAGAAUUGCUAUAUUAUAUGGUGAAUGUAUGUUUAAAUUUGUAAGAAAUUGUCAGGCUCUUUUCCAAAGUGAUUUCACCAUUUUAUAUUCCCACUAGCAGC
Molecule: microRNA precursor, 103 nt
Filed under: Marmota monax (woodchuck)
Lineage: Eukaryota; Metazoa; Chordata; Mammalia; Rodentia; Sciuridae
Source: RNAcentral